AGAGUUUGAUCCUGGCUCAGGAUGAACGCUAGCGGCAGGCUCAACACAUGCAAGUCGAGGGGUAUAGUUCUUCGGAAUUAGAGACCGGCGCACGGGUGCGUAACGCGUAUGCAAUCUACCUUUUACAGAGGGAUAGCCCAGAGAAAUUUGGAUUAAUACUUCAUAGUAUGCAGAGUUGGCAUCAACACUGCAUUAAAGUCACAACGGUAAAAGAUGAGCAUGCGUCCCAUUAGCUAGUUGGUAAGGUAACGGCUUACCAAGGCUACGAUGGGUAGGGGUCCUGAGAGGGAGAUCCCCCACACUGGUACUGAGACACGGACCAGACUCCUACGGGAGGCAGCAGUGAGGAAUAUUGGUCAAUGGACGCAAGUCUGAACCAGCCAUGCCGCGUGCAGGAUGACGGUCCUAUGGAUUGUAAACUGCUUUUGUACGAAGAAACCCUCCUACGUGUAGGAGCUUGACGGUACUGUAAGAAUAAGGAUCGGCUAACUCCGUGCCAGCAGCCGCGGUAAUACGGAGGAUCCAAGCGUUAUCCGGAAUCAUUGGGUUUAAAGGGUCCGUAGGCGGUUUAGUAAGUCAGUGGUGAAAGCCCAUCGCUCAACGGUGGAACGGCCAUUGAUACUGCUAGACUUGAAUUAUUAGGAAGUAACUAGAAUAUGUAGUGUAGCGGUGAAAUGCUUAGAGAUUACAUGGAAUACCAAUUGCGAAGGCAGGUUACUACUAAUGGAUUGACGCUGAUGGACGAAAGCGUGGGUAGCGAACAGGAUUAGAUACCCUGGUAGUCCACGCCGUAAACGAUGGAUACUAGCUGUUGGGAGCGAUCUCAGUGGCUAAGCGAAAGUGAUAAGUAUCCCACCUGGGAGUACGUUCGCAAGAA
RNAcentral lists this ribosomal RNA (877 nucleotides) under uncultured bacterium. Its description in RNAcentral is "bacterial SSU rRNA". It matches the Rfam family "Bacterial small subunit ribosomal RNA", at positions 8 to 894 of the family's 1533-position model. The record is from RNAcentral.